This 508-nucleotide ribosomal RNA is filed under the name uncultured bacterium. Its description in RNAcentral is "partial 16S ribosomal RNA". It matches the Rfam family "Bacterial small subunit ribosomal RNA", at positions 30 to 523 of the family's 1533-position model. The record is from RNAcentral.
AUUGAACGCUGGCGGCAUGCCUUACACAUGCAAGUCGAACGGCAGCGGGGGAGAAGCUUGCUUUUCCUGCCGGCGAGUGGCGAACGGGUGAGUAAUACAUCGGAACGUGCCCUGUAGUGGGGGAUAACUAGUCGAAAGAUUAGCUAAUACCGCAUACGACCUGAGGGGGAAAGUGGGGGACCGCAAGGCCUCAUGCUAUAGGAGCGGCCGAUGUCUGAUUAGCUAGUUGGGGGGGUAAAGGCCUACCAAGGCGACGAUCAGUAGCUGGUCUGAGAGGACGAUCAGCCACACUGGGACUGAGACACGGCCCAGACUCCUACGGGAGGCAGCAGUGGGGAAUUUUGGACAAUGGGCGAAAGCCUGAUCCAGCAAUGCCGCGUGUGUGAAGAAGGCCUUCGGGUUGUAAAGCACUUUUGUCCGGAAAGAAAUGGCUCUGGUUAAUACCUGGGGUCGAUGACGGUACCGGAAGAAUAAGGACCGGCUAACUACGUGCCAGCCGCCGCAGUAA